Molecule: ribosomal RNA, 253 nt
Filed under: uncultured bacterium
Lineage: Bacteria
Description: partial 16S ribosomal RNA
Rfam family: Bacterial small subunit ribosomal RNA
Source: RNAcentral
UACGGAGGGUGCAAGCGUUAAUCGGAUUUAUUGGGCGUAAAGAGCACGUAGGCUGAGAAGAAAGUUAGGUGUGAAAUCCCGGGGCUCAACUCCGGACCCGCAUCUAAAACUCCUUCUCUAGAGGGUAGGCGGAGAAAAGGGAAUUCCACGUGUAGCGGUGAAAUGCGUAGAUAUGUGGAAGAACACCGGUGGCGAAGGCGCUUUUCUAGCUUAUUCCUGACGCUGAGGUGCGAAAGCAAGGGGAGCAAACAGG